Ixodes scapularis (black-legged tick) is the source of this 1531-nucleotide RNA transcript. It is a transcript of the gene named ferrochelatase, mitochondrial, with no coding region annotated. The transcript is spliced from 12 exons. The record is from RefSeq and is a predicted model, not a curated record. NCBI's taxonomy places the organism in Eukaryota, Metazoa, Arthropoda, Arachnida, Ixodida, Ixodidae.
UCACAAGAACGGCCGAGACACUUGAUCGGCUCGACCGACACCUUUUGACGCGGUACUCUGGGACGUCGAGUGCAACAAAGAGAGUCUAGCUGUACACUUUUUUGUCCCUGAACCUCUGAACGGUUGCGAUGUUUGCUGCCCUGAGAAACUCGGCAAAAGGGAGCCCCACUGCAAGGGCCGCUUUCGGGGGCUUUCGUCACGAUUCCAACAGUGCAGUGCCCAAGACGGCCGUCUUGAUGCUGAACAUGGGAGACUCGAGCCACAAGGAAGACGUCGAACUAUUUUUGAAAAGGGUCUUCACGGACAGCGACAUCAUGUCUAUGCCAUUUCAAAGCAUCCUAGGUCCCCUUAUCGCAAGACGCAGGGCACCUAAGCUCGCUGAAAAAUACAAGGAGCUCGAGGGCAGUUCAACUCUGCUCCAAUGGACUGAGCUGCAAGGAAGGCAGAUAACGAAUACUCUUGAUAGCAUUUCACCUAAGACAGGACCACACAAGUACUACAUUGGCUUCCGUUAUACAAACCCCCUCACAGAAGACAGCUUGGAGCAAAUUGAAAAGGAUGGGGUUGAGAGAGUGGUGGCAUUCUCCCAGUAUCCUCAGUACAGUUGCUGCACGAGCGGAAGCAGCCUCAACGCCAUCUUUCGCUUCUACAACCAGAAAAAAAGGAAGAGCGCCGCACAGUGGAGUUUCAUCGACCGCUGGCCCAUUCACGAUGCCAUCACCAAGGGAUACGCCUCCAUAAUAAAAGAGGAGCUUAAAAAAUUUCCAGAGGAAGUCAGAGAUCAGGUUGUCAUCCUGUUUUCAGCGCACUCGCUUCCCAUGAAGAGAUUCAUACAUCCAGCCUCCUCAUUAUGUCUCAUCCCACGUAGAUCACCCCUUCAAAGUAGUGGGCAAAGGGGAUCCCUACCCCACCGAAGUGGCUGCCACCGUUGUUGGUGUGAUGAACGAGCUGAACAACAGCCAUCCUUACCGCCUCGUCUGGCAGUCAAAGGUGGGGCCCCUGCCGUGGCUGAAACCGGAGACGGAGGCCAGCAUGCGUGCCCUGGCUCGGAAGGGCCACCGCCACCAGCUGCUUGUGCCCGUCGCCUUUGUCAAUGAACACAUCGAAACUCUGCACGAGAUGGACCUGGAGCUGGGCAGGGAUGUUGCACCCAAGAUUGGGCUUUUAAAUUUCCGUCGUGCUCCAGCUCUGAACGACCAUCCAGCAUUUAUUCAGGGCCUCGCUGAUCUUGUCAAGGAACACCUAGAGUCUGGCCAGAAGUGCUCUCCACAACUGCUGCUGACGUGCCCCAUGUGCGACAAGAGGAUAUGCAAGGACAUGCGGGAAUGGGUGGCGUCUCUGCCUUGAGUCCUGGACUGGAUAGUGCUUGGGCAACCAAAUGGGAAAUCUCGACCAUCCGAUGACUCCAAUUUAUUGGACGGUGUUACAAAAUAGGGACAAUUGCUCAUUAAUUCAUUGUGCAAGGGUGAACAUUCGAAACACCAUGAUACGCAUGGUGAAAGAAUAAAGGUGCGAUUCUUUUAAACCUUUG